Molecule: long non-coding RNA, 420 nt
Filed under: Ananas comosus (pineapple)
Lineage: Eukaryota; Viridiplantae; Streptophyta; Magnoliopsida; Poales; Bromeliaceae
Description: long non-coding RNA (ACOM_LNC033434)
Source: RNAcentral
AAGAAUGAUUGAUGUUAAUUAAUGAAUAACUAUAAAAAAUAAAUCAGUACAUUAAUAUUAAUUAAUUAUUUAAGAAUUUAUAUUUUUAUUUAAUAUAUUAAUUUGAUAAAUUAUUACAAUAUUAAUUAUUUAAAUAAUACAAAUAUCAAUUAAUGAUUGAGUAAGCAGAUCAAAUUGUAAAUUAUUUAAUUAUAUAAUUAAUUAUAAAUAAUAAAUUAAUUACUAUUUAAAUACUUAUUAAUUAAUAACUUAAAUAAUUAAUUAGUUAAUUAUUAAAAAAUAAUUGCAUUAUUUAAGAAUAUUUUAUAAUUAUUUAUAACUUAAUUUAUACAGGAAUAAAAUAGAGAAUAGCUUAUUCCACCUAAUGGAUGGAAUUACUAUUCUUUUCUCGUAAGGGGUUAUUCCGAAAUAAUUCGUUUA